GCGGGGUAAAUAGUAGAGUAAAAAUAUAAUUUUAAAAUGCAUAAUAAUGCAAAAAUAGUGAAAACCGCGAUUCAGCUAUAUAUUUUGCAUAUAGCCCCUUUCAAUGGAAUUAAUGUUCUGUUAAUGUCUACUUAAACCAACGAAACGUCUAUUUUGAUGGUUGGGACAUAAAACAUCGAUGUUAGCCUAUUGUUAUGUAAGCAACAUCUUUGUAAAUAUUAUGUUUCUUUAGAGACGGGAACACAUAACAUAAGCCUCGUAAAUUGAAUUAUUGUAGGCUAUUAUAAUCUUGGUUAGGAUUUAGCUAGUACUUUAAGUUAGUUCU
This 325-nucleotide unclassified non-coding RNA is filed under the name Moritella viscosa. RNAcentral's name for it is "putative sRNA". The record is from RNAcentral. Lineage: Bacteria; Pseudomonadati; Pseudomonadota; Gammaproteobacteria; Alteromonadales; Moritellaceae.